AGGUGAAGCCUUGCAUGGAGAUGGAGAGCCUCCCUUCAUCUGAUAGCCAAGAAUGACUUGCCUAUGCAAUGCCUCUGCUAACUGAUCCAUCUCACCAUCGGCUGGGAAGCCCCUGUGAUGGAUGCAGUUUGUGUGGUUGCCUGGGUGGGUCUUCUUGGCUAACCAGAGGGGCUCUCAUCCACCAUGCCAGGCCAUCCCUCUUCAAGAAACAAAAAUGAAAAAUCUCUCUGAAGCCACUGGAUUCGAUCUCCUUUGCAGGUGAGAAUCAAAUGCUGUUUCUUCAGGUGGGCAACUCUUGGAUUCAGAAUUCAGUCACCAUUGUGUGGUUAUUGGGGAGACUCCCUUUGGUGCAUGCAGGGUUUGCCAGGUAUAGUAGUACGUGCGACAGCCGUCACCGGAUCCAAGAAUUGGACAAGCUUCUUUCUGCCAGACCGAACGGACACGAGGAGUUUGUGCGGCGCCACACGUGUGACAUGAAGUACAGCACACACACGGACGUGGCCCCGUCCCGACGUGUGCCCUCGCCGUGAGCACGUUGCACAGAGGGAGGGUUUCGUCUCCAUCUGUGCAAGUGUCAUGUUCCACGCUGCGAAUUAAGAUUUGUUUACGGGCGACGUAGAAACAAAGCUGAAAAAUGCAAACAAGAAUCCGGAUCUUUCUAGGGCGUGUUUUUUUUUACGGAUAGGGCGUGUUUGGUUUCCCAUACGGAGGUCGAUAGACUGGCUGCAUAUAGAGAAAAAAAUUCGCUAACGGUGUUUGGUUAUUUGGCUCGCAUCAAUUCCGUGUAUUGCACAAUGUUUAAAGCACUCUAGGAUCAUGCUGAGGAGAAAUUCCCACAUUAUCGGUUUUCAUUCAUGCAAACUCGCACGGAUCACAAGGUGAGAAAAAUUCUCUUCUUUUCCGUGUCAGACCAUAUGCUCCUCUCACAGCGUAUAUGGGAAGCCGCCGCUACUAAAUGUGUGAGUCUGUAUGCUGCAAAACCUCACCAACCACCAUACAGGUAACCAAUCAACAUGUAUACGUCGUUUUUUGCAAUAUUUUUCUUCAACUAGGCCCUGCUUAGCCUGUAUCGUUUUCCUCAUACAGCCUCAUCCUAUGGUUGCAGGCAACCAAACACGUCCCUAGUGUACAAAAUUCUAGCCAGCAGGGAUCGCUCGCCUUUGCCGCGCCACUUUAUUGUCCAUAGGGUAUUUUUUCUGGAUGAGGGCAUUUCUAAAGCUGGACCGCAAAUAUGUUCCGGCAUUCGUCCGCGGACAAGGGGUCAGUCCGCGGACAUUGAUGCGGGAGCAGAACAUCCAAAGCUGCUUGCAUACAUUUCAUCAACUGUUUGAACUAACCAUACAAAAUUCAUGCAAAGACGACAUAUUUCAUUAAGUUUGGAUAUAAUUUACAUAACGGAUGAUUUUUUGAUUGUUUUACUAAAAACUAUAAAUACCAGAUGACUAUCUCGUACGCGUGGCCGCUUUGUCCUGCCGCACCACCAUCGUCGUCUGUGUCCUCGUCGUCCCUUCAGUGACGCAAUGUUGCUUGAGGCCACGACAGCCUUGUCCGGUGGCUGCCUGCCGCUCGCGUAGGAGCGGCUCCGCCUCCUAUUGCAUGGUGCGGAGAGCCGCCUUGGCCACUGUCGGCGGAGCCCUAGCGGCGGCGUUGCCCCUGCCGGCGUUGGCGGAGCAAUCGCUAAGCGAUCACUCCUUGCCGCCCUCCCGUUCGGUCAAAUCGCGGACAUCAAUGUCGACCGUUGCAUGCUGUGGGCCGAUACGAAUGCGGAGUGGCAAGCGGCGCCGACGUCCGAUGGAAAGCACGGGAGAGGCGGGUAGGAUUUUUUAUGGGGCAAGGCGGUCAGACGCGGGCGUGGCAGCGGUCCGGAGCCCGCAACCCCCGUAGUUUGUCUCCGGUUUGCGGGAAAAAACACGUCCGGAUCGCUGGACGGACCGACAGAACCAGCAUUGGGUGGUACAACACAUCCGGAUGCGCGGUUCGAACGUAUGCGGGUGGUUUGAGGGUCGGCGUUGAAGAUGCCUUAAUCUUAUGUUUUGGACCGCAGCCGGCGAACAUUCUCUAGGAGGGGUUGGUAUUUACGAACAUUUGAGGUGACAAGUUUAGACUGUGUACUGCAAUAAGUUUGGCCCGACUCCACUGAGGGAGGGGGUGAUGGCGAUGGAGCGCCUUUGUCUCGCUUCAGUGCUUGUAGUCGUCGUUAGGUGGUCUACAGAUAUGGAUGUAAUUUUUAUUAUUUUUAUGUUCUUUGUACUGCGAUGCUAUGAUGAAUAUCUCGGUAAUUUUCUCGCAAAAAAGAAGUAUGAGGUUGGCAGUUUCUUCAUAAACGCAUGCCAUUUGCUGUAAAAAAGGCAGGAUUUACCCUCUCUUCCCAACUAAAUUUGCAAAAAAAGAGCAUUCCCUUGCCAUUCCCUCCCAGCUGACGUUUGUCAGAUGUAACAUUAUCGUAUGCUUCUAAGUUUUUCUAAACGCAACACCUUCUCUUGAAAUAUUUUUAAUAAGCAAGUAACCAAAUACUCCCAUGAUUCCAUGAUGUAGUGCAUAUAUCGAAAAUU
This is a long non-coding RNA of Triticum dicoccoides, 2552 nucleotides long. RefSeq lists it as uncharacterized. Lineage: Eukaryota; Viridiplantae; Streptophyta; Magnoliopsida; Poales; Poaceae. The record is from RefSeq and is a predicted model, not a curated record. The transcript is spliced from 3 exons.